RNAcentral lists this ribosomal RNA (268 nucleotides) under uncultured bacterium. Its description in RNAcentral is "partial 16S ribosomal RNA". The record is from RNAcentral.
CUGCUGCCUUCCGUAGGAGUCUGGGCCGUGUCUCAGUCCCAGUGUGGGGGGCUUCCUCUCAGAACCCCUACGCAUCGUCGCCACGGUGGGCCGUCACCCCGCCGUCUAGCUAAUGCGCCGCAUGCCCAUCCGCCACCGGAUCGCUCCUUUGGCCACCGGAGGAUGCCCUCCGGUGGCGUCACGGGGUAUUAGGCCGCGUUUCCGCGGGUUAUCCCCCUGUGGCGGCCAGGUUGCAUACGUGUUACUCACCCGUGCGCCGGUCGCCGGG